AUUUGAUGCAGCAGAAGGGACAUCUUUACUAGGUGAGCUUGACUUGGCUUUCCUAGGGAUGUAUGCUGGGGGGAUGUACUUCUCUGGCCAAUUGGGAGAUAGAACGGAUUUGAGGAUAUUUUUAACUUUGGGAAUGUUGGGAACUGGUCUGUUUACUUCGCUAUUCGGAUUAGGAUAUUGGGCAAACAUCCAUGUCUUUUCUUACUAUUUGAUUGUUCAAAUGCUUGCUGGCCUGUUCCAAUCCACUGGCUGGCCUUCUGUUGUUGCGGUGGUCGGUAAUUGGUUUGGAAAGAGCAAGAGAGGACUAAUAAUGGGUAUAUGGAAUGCUCACACAUCUAUUGGCAACAUUUCUGGCUCUCUGGUUGCAUCUGCGUUGUUGAGCUAUGGUUGGGGUUGGUCAUUGGUUGUCCCUGGUCUGAUCAUUGCAUUUUCGGGUUUGGUAGUCUUUCUGUUUCUUCCUGUGAAUCCUGAGUCUGUUGGAAUUGAUAAAGAAGGAGAUGACUUGAGCUCUCCCAAGAAAGUUGGGGAGGGAAAUACAGAACCUCUAUUGAAAUCAGAAUCAGAGAUUGAGAAGGCAGUCGGUUUUAUGGAAGCAUGGAGAAUUCCUGGUGUUGCACCUUUUGCAUUUUGCCUCUUCUUUGCUAAAUUGGUGGCUUAUACAUUCCUUUACUGGCUCCCUUUCUACAUUAGCCACACAGUUAUCGAUGGAAAAUAUUUGUCAAGUUCUACAGCCGGAAACCUUUCGACAUUGUUUGAUAUUGGAGGGGUAAUAGGCGGAAUUCUAGCUGGUCAUAUUUCUGAUCGCUUAGGUGCUAGAGCCAUUACAGCUGCAAGUUUCAUGUACUGUGCCAUUCCUGCCCUCUACUGCUACCGAAACUACGGUCACAUAUCCAUAACGAUGAAUGUAGCUCUCAUGUUCAUCACUGGCAUGUUUGUCAAUGGGCCAUAUGCUCUAAUAACAACGGCUGUCUCUGCCGAUUUGGGAACCCACAGUUCAUUGCACGGGAAUUCUCGUGCGCUUGCUACGGUGACAGCGAUUAUUGAUGGGACUGGCUCGGUUGGGGCUGCGAUUGGACCCUUGUUAACGGGAUAUUUAUCAGCUAAAAGCUGGAGUUCAGUGUUCGUAAUGCUGAUGGUCUCAGCUUUAAUAGCAGGGCUGUUUUUGACAAGGCUUGUUAUAGCUGAGGUGACUGCAAAGAUUGAGGAGUCGAGUUCGAGAGGAAGGAUUACAUCCAGGAGUCCAGUACUCGAAGUGUGAGCUUAUGUGUUGAUGACGACAACAACAACAAUCCUAGGUACCAUUGUAUUUAGCCCGUGUUUG
Molecule: unclassified non-coding RNA, 1321 nt
Filed under: Hevea brasiliensis (rubber tree)
Lineage: Eukaryota; Viridiplantae; Streptophyta; Magnoliopsida; Malpighiales; Euphorbiaceae
Source: RNAcentral